CAGACAUAUACGUGGUUUUUACCUCAGUUUUCCACAGCUGAUGCAAUCUCAUCUAUUGCAGUCUUCUGAAUUGAUUCUAGAUCAAUGACUGAUGAUCUGUACUCUCCUCAGCUGAUCCUCAUAGAAGUUUAGUUUUUGAUUUAGGUAAUUCAUGAAGGUCAUAUUUUUCAGCAUGUGUUAGUCUGUUAUUUCUCCAAAAGUAUUUUUAAAGUUUUGUCAAAGAGAAUUGAGCAUAUUUGAAGAUAUUUUUUGAAGAUAUUUUUAAAUCCUUUUUCCAGCUGUACAUUUUGAGAGAUAUCUUUUUAGAUGAACAAAUAGAGGUAUAAAUCCGAUGGUAACCUAGGAUCUCAGCUAAAUUGGAAGAGAGCUGAGCUGCCAGGUGUUGGAGUAGCUGAUUCAAGCAACAAGCCAAGAAGAAAAGGGAUAAGUCUUUAAUCUCUCAUUACGAUGAUGUAAGAGGCUGCAACUUGGGAAAAUAUGGAUCCCCUGUCCUUUUCCCUGUGGAGUUUUGCACCUGUCUAGAGUCAGAAGAAUUGAUGCAGAUAAUUACCUUGAUUCCUAGAGAAGAUCAGAAAGAAUGCUUAUAUUUCAAAAGGCAUAGAGAAAAACAAUGCAAGUUCUACCAAGAAGGGCUUUUGUUCCCCAAAUGCAGAUCUUUUACAAUAUCUGCAAGCCUUUUGAGAUCAAUAAAAAAAGUUUCGAGUUUGGUAAAAAGGAGAGAUGAGCUUUGGAUUAUUUCUAGAGUCCCAUUUCUGUUCUUGUAAAAACUUGAUUUGUAAGACAAUUACAGUAAUUUCUAAUUCCUCAAAGAAUUGGAUUCAACCUGAAUGAUGUCAAGAGGAUGACACACCUAUCCAACUGCAUAAUACUUGCUUUGCUUUUUUAUAUUAGGGAGAAGAUCUUUAAAAUGGAAUUCAAAUAAUUCCUAUAUUCUAGAUUUCAAACUGUUUACUUUUGGGAUGUUUUAGUAAAUCUUCUACAAAGGUUUCAUGAAUGUUUUUUUUCCCCUCUAUGAACACAGUUACAUUUUAACUUAGGAUACAAGAACUGGAAAAAAAAAAAGUUCCUAUAAGCCUCUGAAUGUCAGGCUUCACAGUAUACCCAGUCCAGCUUCUAAGUCAGACCCAGUUUGCCUCUAGCUGGUUUCCAGACCCAGUCCUGUUUCAAAGUCAGACACAGUGUGACCCUGGACUUAAUUCGAUUUCUAAGUCAGAUCCAGUCUGACUCUGCCCAGUUUCUGGACCCAGUACAGAAAAGGAAAUGUUUGAAUAAGUCUAAAUGUUUAUAGUGCAAAAAACUGCAGCGCUAGGAUCUGAGAGGAGUAACUUACCCACUACCUCCAGGGGCUAUGAGAGCACAGUAACCUCAGGAGGUUGGGGUGAUGUUCAUCGCAUAUCUUCACCUGCUCAUUGCUUCCGGGUCAUCAGGGUCUCCAGUUCUUGCUUCUAAUACCAGAACUUUUAAAAGAUUAAUUGAGGCAUAUUUAAAAUUUUAAGAGUUUAUUUAGGCAAAAAUCAAUUUGAAUCAGGCAACAUGCCACCUAGCAGAAAGAAAAAAGCUCCAGGGAACUGUACAAAAAGAAAGAUUUUUAUAGGCAGAAGGGAGAGGGAACAGGAAGUUAAGCUAGGCUACCAUUCCUCUAUGAAAAAAAAAAAAAAAAAGUUAUGCUAGGCAAAAAAGUGGAUUGAUUAUUGCAAGGUUACUUUUCUUUAGGAGAUGGAAGGAGUGUACUAGGCAGGUUACCUCCCCAGUGCUGAUCAGGAGAUUCUUCUUUGACCAGUUUAAGAUUUAUUCCUGAGAUAAUCAAAAUUCUAUUUAAAUCUUGGUUUGGUGACAUGGGGCUAAACAUAAAUGACUCUAUUUUUGACUAGUCUUGUUUUUAAUACUAUUAGCAUUAAUAAAUAAUGAUAAAUUCAGAUAAAAUGCUAAUUG
Molecule: long non-coding RNA, 1932 nt
Organism: Vulpes vulpes (red fox)
Lineage: Eukaryota; Metazoa; Chordata; Mammalia; Carnivora; Canidae
Source: Ensembl